This 76-nucleotide small RNA is filed under the name Xanthomonas codiaei. Its description in RNAcentral is "sX9 sRNA". It matches the Rfam family "Xanthomonas sRNA sX9". Lineage: Bacteria; Pseudomonadati; Pseudomonadota; Gammaproteobacteria; Lysobacterales; Lysobacteraceae. The record is from RNAcentral.
AUGUAUCACGCGUCCGUUGCGGUUCGUCCGCGCUGUCCACACCCGCCUGACGACUGCGCGCUACGUGGUGCCAGGC